RNAcentral lists this ribosomal RNA (495 nucleotides) under uncultured bacterium. RNAcentral describes it as "partial 16S ribosomal RNA". It matches the Rfam family "Bacterial small subunit ribosomal RNA", at positions 28 to 507 of the family's 1533-position model. The record is from RNAcentral.
GACGAACGCUGGCGGCGUGCCUAAUACAUGCCAGUAGAACGCUGAAGGAGGAGCUUGCUUCUCUGGAUGAGUUGCGAACGGGUGAGUAACGCGUAGGUAACCUGCCUGGUAGCGGGGGAUAACUAUUGGAAACGAUAGCUAAUACCGCAUAAUAGUAGAUGUUGCAUGACAUUUGCUUAAAAGGUGCAAUUGCAUCACUACCAGAUGGACCUGCGUUGUAUUAGCUAGUUGGUGGGGUAACGGCUCACCAAGGCGACGAUACAUAGCCGACCUGAGAGGGUGAUCGGCCACACUGGGACUGAGACACGGCCCAGACGCCGACGGGAGGCAGCAGUAGGGAAUCUUCGGCAAUGGACGGAAGUCUGACCGAGCAACGCCGCGUGAGUGAAGAAGGGUUUCGGAUCGUAAAGCUCUGUUGUAAGAGAAGAACGAGUGUGAGAGUGGAAAGUUCACACUGUGACGGUAUCUUACCAGAAAUGGACGGCUAACUACGUG